Phyllostomus discolor (pale spear-nosed bat) is the source of this 164-nucleotide small nuclear RNA. RefSeq annotates it as U1 spliceosomal RNA. The transcript has a single exon. The record is from RefSeq and is a predicted model, not a curated record. Lineage: Eukaryota; Metazoa; Chordata; Mammalia; Chiroptera; Phyllostomidae.
AUACUUACCUGGUAAGGGAUAUACCAUGAUCAUGAAGGUAGUUUUCACAGAGCGAGGCUGAUCCAUUGCAAUCCAGUUACGUUGACCCCUGUGAUUUCCCCAAAUGUGGUAAACUCAACUGCAUAAUUUGUGGUAGUGGGGGACUAUGUUUGAGCUCUCCCCUG